Non-coding RNA from Peromyscus maniculatus bairdii (prairie deer mouse), 601 nucleotides. The record is from RefSeq and is a predicted model, not a curated record. Lineage: Eukaryota; Metazoa; Chordata; Mammalia; Rodentia; Cricetidae.
UUAUUCGGUAACAUGUCCAACAAGAAGGAGGCUGGGAUACUUUGUAAAUUCUUGUCUUAAUAUUCAUGUUUUUCAACCCACUGUGAUGCUUCUCACCCUGCCUCUCCAGAGGAGAACCAACUCUGAGCUCAUAAUGGCGACUGGGUAGAGACUGGGAGAGGGUCACAGUAACAGGCUGAAAACUUUGCUGAAGUACAUUGUGUCAUUUUUUUAAGCACAGCCUUCUAAAAAUCAACCCUCUCAUCUAUUCAGAAAGUUUGAUUGGGAGUCUCAGUGGCCAAAGACAAGAGAGAUGACUUUGGUGUUGGCUUGCCGUAGUUGACAGAAAGGUUAAGAAGAGGAUUCCUUCCCAGCCUAUGAGAGAUGCCUGCAGAAGAGCGAGCGGUGAAGCAUUCUCAGACAGGGGCUUGUUUGUGUUUAUUUGGCUUCCUCUGCAAAGUGCUCUAGCUGGAUAUAAUCAGCGCUGUCCCUCGGCCUUUGUAGCGGCUUCGAGUAAUGGUGUGCAGAUGUCAAAUGUGACGUGUCUGGGCACCAGCCCUUCGCUCAGACAUGGUGAACGGUUAGCGGUAACGCGGGCGCUACUGCUACACAUAUUGUAGGC